GUGGGAGGGGGCUUGCUCCCGAUAGCGGUGGGUCAGUUAACAGAUAAGUCACUGACAGACCGCAAUCGGGAGCAAGCCCCCUCCCAC
RNAcentral lists this unclassified non-coding RNA (87 nucleotides) under Pseudomonas synxantha. The record is from RNAcentral. Lineage: Bacteria; Pseudomonadati; Pseudomonadota; Gammaproteobacteria; Pseudomonadales; Pseudomonadaceae.